GACGAACGUUGGCGGUGCGCUUCAUGCAUGCAAGUCGAGGGAGAAGCGUUGGUUCCGUAAGGUUCCGACGUGGAAACCGGCGAACGGGUGCGUAACACGUGAGAAACCUGCCCCUAAGACUGGGAUAGCCCAGGGAAACUUGGAUUAAUACCGGAUACUCUCUCCGGGCCGCAUGGCCUGGUGAGGAAAUGGUCCGCCGCUUAGGGAUGGUCUCGCGGCCUAUCAGCUUGUUGGUGAGGUAACGGCUCACCAAGGCUAAGACGGGUAGCUGGUCUGAGAGGACGAUCAGCCACACUGGAACUGAGACACGGUCCAGACUCCUACGGGAGGCAGCAGCAGGGAAUAUUGCACAAUGGGCGAAAGCCUGAUGCAGCGACACCGCGUGCGGGAUGACGGCCUUCGGGUUGUAAACCGCUUUCAGGAGGGAAGAAAAUGACGGUACCUCCAGAAGAAGCUCCGGCCAACUACG
Molecule: ribosomal RNA, 469 nt
Filed under: uncultured Acidimicrobiales bacterium
Lineage: Bacteria; Bacillati; Actinomycetota; Acidimicrobiia; Acidimicrobiales
Description: bacterial SSU rRNA
Rfam family: Bacterial small subunit ribosomal RNA
Source: RNAcentral